UCCCACUUUCUCCAUUUGUUCCCAGACUUCUUGAGUUUCCAAGUUUCAACCCAUCCAUCUCCCGAUACUUAGAACCUACCUAUAUAUUCUCUUGAAUAUAUGAUAUAUUGAUCUUCAUCUUCUUAAGGAUCUUCACUGACUCAAUGGACUUUCUAGACAAAUUCCUUAUGUCCAAAGACCCUACUAUCAACCUUGCAACUCCC
This 203-nucleotide long non-coding RNA is filed under the name Solanum tuberosum (potato). RNAcentral describes it as "long non-coding RNA (STUB_LNC005536)". The record is from RNAcentral. Lineage: Eukaryota; Viridiplantae; Streptophyta; Magnoliopsida; Solanales; Solanaceae.